GGAUAUCAAAAGAAGAGUGUUAUGAAAAAUUGGUGUGGAUCCCAUCGCUUAUGGAUAUCUCAUAUUCUCAUGUAAUAUAAUGUGUGUUACACACAUUGAGUGUGGGGAGGAGUAAUAUGAAGACAGCAACCCAUUUGAUUUCUGCAUAUCAUUUGUUUGGAAACUUGGCAAACGUUGAUUGCUUAGAUAUUAGAAUGUACUAUGAACGGGCUUGAAAU
This 218-nucleotide long non-coding RNA is filed under the name Citrus maxima (pomelo). RNAcentral's name for it is "long non-coding RNA (CMAX_LNC000338)". Lineage: Eukaryota; Viridiplantae; Streptophyta; Magnoliopsida; Sapindales; Rutaceae. The record is from RNAcentral.